Molecule: ribosomal RNA, 498 nt
Filed under: uncultured bacterium
Lineage: Bacteria
Description: partial 16S ribosomal RNA
Rfam family: Bacterial small subunit ribosomal RNA
Source: RNAcentral
AUUGAACGCUGGCGGCAUGCCUUACACAUGCAAGUCGAACGGUAACAGGUCUUCGGAUGCUGACGAGUGGCGAACGGGUGAGUAAUACAUCGGAACGUGCCCGAUCGUGGGGGAUAACGAAGCGAAAGCUUUGCUAAUACCGCAUACGAUCUACGGAUGGAAGCAGGGGACCGCAAGGCCUUGCGCGAACGGAGCGGCCGAUGGCAGAUUAGGUAGUUGGUGGGAUAAAAGCUUACCAAGCCGACGAGCUGUAGCUGGUCUGAGAGGACGACCAGCCACACUGGGACUGAGACACGGCCCAGACUCCUACGGGAGGCAGCAGUGGGGAAUUUUGGACAAUGGGCGAAAGCCUGAUCCAGCCAUGCCGCGUGCAGGAUGAAGGCCUUCGGGUUGUAAACUGCUUUUGUACGGAACGAAAAGACUCUGGUUAAUACCUGGGGUCCAUGACGGUACCGUAAGAAUAAGCACCGGCUAACUACGUGCCAGCAGCCGCAGUAA